This 360-nucleotide ribosomal RNA is filed under the name uncultured bacterium. RNAcentral's name for it is "bacterial SSU rRNA". It matches the Rfam family "Bacterial small subunit ribosomal RNA", at positions 8 to 353 of the family's 1533-position model. The record is from RNAcentral.
AGAGUUUGAUCAUGGCUCAGGAUGAACGCUAGCUACAGGCUUAACACAUGCAAGUCGAGGGGAAACGACAUCGAAAGCUUGCUUUUGAUGGUCGUCGACCGGCGCACGGGUGAGUAACGCGUAUCCAACCUGCCCAUCACUUGGGGAUAACCUUGCGAAAGUAAGACUAAUACCCUUUUAAUGAUAUCUCUAGAAGACAUCUGAAAGAGAUUAAAGAUUUAUCGGUGAUGGAUGGGGAUGCGUCUGAUUAGCUUGUUGGCGGGGUAACGGCCCACCAAGGCAACGAUCAGUAGGGGUUCUGAGAGGAAGGUCCCCCACAUUGGAACUGAGACACGGUCCAAACUCCUACGGGAGGCAGCA